GAUGAACGCUGGCGGCGUGCCUAAUACAUGCAAGUCGAGCGAAUGGAUUAAGAGCUUGCUCUUAUGAAGUUAGCGGCGGACGGGUGAGUAACACGUGGGUAACCUGCCCAUAAGACUGGGAUAACUCCGGGAAACCGGGGCUAAUACCGGAUAACAUUUUGAACCGCAUGGUUCGAAAUUGAAAGGCGGCUUCGGCUGUCACUUAUGGAUGGACCCGCGUCGCAUUAGCUAGUUGGUGAGGUAACGGCUCACCAAGGCAACGAUGCGUAGCCCACCUGAGAGGGGGAUCGGCCACACUGGGAGUGAGACACGGCCCAGACUCCUACGGGAGGCAGCAGUAGGGAAUCUUCCGCAAUGGACGAAAGUCUGACGGAGCAACGCCGCGUGAGUGAUGAAGGCUUUCGGGUCGUAAAACUCUGUUGUUAGGGAAGAACAAGUGCUAGUUGAAUAAGCUGGCACCUUGGCGGUACCUAACCAGAAAGCCACGGCUAACUACGUGCCAGCAGCCGCGGUAA
This 515-nucleotide ribosomal RNA is filed under the name uncultured bacterium. RNAcentral describes it as "partial 16S ribosomal RNA". It matches the Rfam family "Bacterial small subunit ribosomal RNA", at positions 28 to 523 of the family's 1533-position model. The record is from RNAcentral.